Molecule: transfer RNA, 74 nt
Filed under: Candidatus Poribacteria bacterium
Lineage: Bacteria; Candidatus Poribacteria
Description: tRNA-Gln
Rfam family: tRNA
About the family: Transfer RNA (tRNA) molecules are approximately 80 nucleotides in length. Their secondary structure includes four short double-helical elements and three loops (D, anti-codon, and T loops).
Source: RNAcentral
UGCCGGGUCGUCUAGUGGUAGGACACGUGGCUCUGGACCACGCUGCGAGGGUUCGAAUCCUUCCCCGGCAACCA